Molecule: ribosomal RNA, 302 nt
Filed under: Aeromonas salmonicida subsp. salmonicida 01-B526
Lineage: Bacteria; Pseudomonadati; Pseudomonadota; Gammaproteobacteria; Aeromonadales; Aeromonadaceae
Description: bacterial SSU rRNA
Rfam family: Bacterial small subunit ribosomal RNA
Source: RNAcentral
CAAAGAUUUAUCGCCAAGGGAUGAGCCCGCGUAAGAUUAGGUAGUUGGUGGGGUAAAGGCCUACCAAGCCGACGAUCUUUAGCUGGUCUGAGAGGAUGAUCAGCCACAUUGGGACUGAGACACGGCCCAAACUCCUACGGGAGGCAGCAGUGGGGAAUAUUGGACAAUGGGCGCAAGCCUGAUCCAGCCAUGCCGCGUGAGUGAUGAAGGCCCUAGGGUUGUAAACCGCUUUCAGCAGGGACGAAAAUGACGGUACCUGCAGAAGAAGCCCCGGCUAACUACGUGCCAGCUGCCGCGGUAAU